Molecule: ribosomal RNA, 253 nt
Filed under: uncultured bacterium
Lineage: Bacteria
Description: partial 16S ribosomal RNA
Rfam family: Bacterial small subunit ribosomal RNA
Source: RNAcentral
UACGAAGGGUGCAAGCGUUAUCCGGAUUCAUUGGGUUUAAAGGGUGCGUAGGCGGGAUGGUAAGUCAGUGGUGAAAUCCUGCAGCUUAACUGUAGAAUUGCCAUUGAUACUGCCAUUCUUGAGUACGCUUGAUGUGGGCGGAAUGUGCCGUGUAGCGGUGAAAUGCUUAGAUAUGGCACAGAACACCGAUAGCGAAGGCAGCUCACAAAAGCGAAACUGACGCUGAGGCACGAAAGCGUGGGGAUCGAACAGG